UGGGGUCUCGCAAGGGGCCCUGGUGUAUUCCUAGGUCUGACCAAACCUUGUAAGCGUACACUGCAACCAGUUAGACGAUCAGCAGUGGGCACAGUGGUUGUGGGCGGCCAGCAAUGGUCAUCCGCUUCUACGAAGCAAUUGUUUGCGUCGGUUAGUAGUAGCGCGGUUGUGCCUCGGCGCUUCUCGUGUUGCUGGGCCGGCGUGAGUGAACUACAGCUGAAUACUGACUGGCGAAAUGAAAACCGCUCGAAAGAGCGUUAGAGACAAAGCCGCUCGCCGGAUGUGGGCCUACACGGUCGACUGUUAGGUCUAAGCUUGGCGUUUUUGAAUUCAGACUUGCUUGCUACCAGUGGGGCAACUCCUGGUGCUUGUAUAGCUUCUGUCUAAUCGGGCGUCGACUUGGCUUGGCAUCGUUUGGCCGUGCUUCGAUAGGGUCCGCAUGUGAGUGGGCGCGCAAUGUUAAU
Molecule: ribosomal RNA, 464 nt
Filed under: Aceria tosichella (wheat curl mite)
Lineage: Eukaryota; Metazoa; Arthropoda; Arachnida; Trombidiformes; Eriophyidae
Description: partial 28S ribosomal RNA
Source: RNAcentral